UACGUAGGGGGCAAGCGUUGUCCGGAUUCAUUGGGCGUAAAGCGCACGUAGGCGGUCCAGCAAGUCGGGUGUGAAAGCCCUCGGCUUAACCGAGGAAGUGCAUUCGAAACUACUGGACUUGAGUACUGAAGAGGAUCGCGGAAUUCCCGGUGUAGAGGUGAAAUUCGUAGAUAUCGGGAGGAACACCAGUGGCGAAGGCGGCGAUCUGGGCAGAUACUGACGCUGAGGUGCGAAAGCGUGGGGAGCAAACAGG
Molecule: ribosomal RNA, 253 nt
Filed under: uncultured bacterium
Lineage: Bacteria
Description: partial 16S ribosomal RNA
Rfam family: Bacterial small subunit ribosomal RNA
Source: RNAcentral